This 247-nucleotide ribosomal RNA is filed under the name uncultured bacterium. Its description in RNAcentral is "partial 16S ribosomal RNA". It matches the Rfam family "Bacterial small subunit ribosomal RNA", at positions 111 to 352 of the family's 1533-position model. The record is from RNAcentral.
UAACACGGUAGGACCUGCCCAUGCGGCCGGGACAACUUCCGGAAACGGAUGCUGAUACCGGAUAAGGAAAGCGAAGGCAUCUUUGCUUUGUUAAAGGAGCUGCAAGGCUCCGCGCAUGGAUGGACCUGCGGUGCAUUAGCUGGUUGGUGAGGUAAAGGCUCACCAAGGCGACGAUGCAUAGCCGGCCUGAGAGGGCGAACGGCCACACUGGGACUGAGACACGGCCCAGACUCCUACGGGAGGCAGC